This 172-nucleotide unclassified non-coding RNA is filed under the name soil metagenome. RNAcentral describes it as "partial internal transcribed spacer 1". The record is from RNAcentral.
CAGGACUCGCAAGACUUCUACAACCCUGUGAACUUCACUAUAAGCACGUUGCUUCGGCGGGUGUCUCGGCGGAGGGUCCCCACUGGGACCUGCGCAGGGGCGCGAAGCCCGCCGGCAGCCUACUAUACUCUGUCUCUUUGCGUUGGCAUCUCGAGUACAAUCAAACAAGUUA